AUUUACAUUCCAGUGGAGAAGAUGAAGAAACAGAUGAAUAAAGAAGAUGAUUGCAACUUGGAAAAAGUGUGAUGAAGUAGGUGAUGCGUUGAAGGAUGGCCUGAAGGGCAAAAGCCAUCUCCCAUGCAACCACAUGCUUCAGGAGAAGCUGACCCUACACCUAGCUCCACUGGUGAAUCUAAUUGGUCCAAGGGUCGUCUUGGUCCCUUUGCCAGAGAUUGGCUCAUGGGGUGAAUGAUCCAGCUCCAGCUAAUGAAACAUUAGGGGAAUCUGCUGAAGAAUUUCCAAAAAGAGUUUCCUCAUUCCAAACAGAAAGCCAUAAGAAAGGAAUGUCAUGCCUAUAAUUGCUGCAGCUAUUUUAAUUCCAAGUAUGAGGUUGAAACAACCAUGGAUGGCCAAGUGAAGAGAUGGAAAAAGCAGGAUUCAGGAUAACUUUAGGGAAUUAUCGGAUGAGUACAUUGGACAUGGUCGCCAUGUGGCCUGCUGCCCCCGUGUACCACUUGGAGACCAGCCUAGCAUGGAAAUGACCAGAUGUUGGAAGCUGAGCUACUGUUUUCUGGGAAGCUUGCUAUCAUGUUUUGAACUGCCCUAUGGAGAAAGCAACAUGGCUAGGAAUAUGAGAGAGCCAACAGGACAAUGAGGCCCUCAAUACAGCAAGAAACCAAAUCUGCCAACAACCAUGUCUCAGAUUCUGAAGACCAGGACUCCUCAUGAAUCUGUCAGCCCCCCUCACCCCAGCUCUGGGCCUCUGUAUCACCACAACUGCCACCUCAUCAUUAUUUUAUUUCAUGCCAGUCACUGGACUAAACACCUUACAGGCUUUAUCACAUUUAAUUCCUUCAACAACACCAAGAGGCACUCACAUCUCUACCCCACCAGCAGCCUCUUAGAGAAGUGAGAACUCUAUUUUAGAAGAGAGAAAAGCACUUCUCAGUACACCUCCCUUUCCUUUUCAUAGACGAGUACUGCAUCAUGUAACUACCUAUGACCACAAGUAAAGGCUGGAAAAGUGAGUAUAUUGAAAAAAAAAAAAAAGCCAAGUUUAUUGUGAUUGAAUUAGCAAGAGCAAUCAUGAUUUAUCUCUCAGGGCUGUGUACUUGGCAGCUGAAAUAAAAUCAGGAUUCUGUUA
This is a long non-coding RNA of Symphalangus syndactylus (siamang), 1129 nucleotides long. RefSeq lists it as uncharacterized. The record is from RefSeq and is a predicted model, not a curated record. NCBI's taxonomy places the organism in Eukaryota, Metazoa, Chordata, Mammalia, Primates, Hylobatidae.